RNAcentral lists this unclassified non-coding RNA (2400 nucleotides) under Hevea brasiliensis (rubber tree). Lineage: Eukaryota; Viridiplantae; Streptophyta; Magnoliopsida; Malpighiales; Euphorbiaceae. The record is from RNAcentral.
UAUUUGAAACCUGAACAACCAACAAACGCUCUUUCUGGUUAGUGCGCUAAGUAAAGCUCUCUCAUUCAAGAGGCUACUUCUCCACCAAAAUCUACUGUUAUGUCUUCACUCUGUCUUUGCUAUCCGUCCUUUCUCUCGCUGUCAAUAAUCCCAUGUCCAGGAAAACUUCAAUUUUCUAUGGAUCAUCAUCAACUCUCUCUUCUUGCCAACUUGGCUAAAACCUCGAGAUCUAAUCUGAGACACUUCUUAGCUCCAAUGGGUUUGCGUCUUUCUGAACAUCUCCUCAUCCAAUGCAGUUACCUUGGCUCUCCUCCUAAUAUACAAAAUGAAACUAGUGAGUUACUCUCUCAGAGGUCAUUUCUCAAACACUUUCUGUGUAUUACACAUCCCAAAAAAUUUCACUGACACAUUGCCGUGGACCAUUAAUACUAGGUUUCUUCUUGUUUCAGGGCUUCUUUAUUCGUUAUUCAGGCAAAUUGGGAUCGAAGAUAAAGAAAUUAAAUUAAUUUUGGAGCAGAACCCAUCUCUAACUUCGACAACUUUGGACUCCGUACGAGCCCGAGUUUUUCUUUUACAGUCAGCUGGAAUUAAAGGCAUUGAACUAUAUCGUUUGAUUAUCAAAUGCCCAAAUGUAUUAACAGCUGAGGAAAUCGAUUACUUCUUUCACUUCGUGCUUAAUAGUUUGCCAGGAAAGAUUGAACCGCUGCAGCUCAAACGCCUUAUGACUGCCACUGAACCUAGAUUCUUGGUGGGUUUUGAUCGUAAGGUUAUGCUUCUCCUUGAUCAUGGAGUUCCCCAAGAAAAGAUUGUUCACAUUCUGAAUAAUGUAAAUUUAACCAAGGCAAUGUGCUUCAAGUCAAUCGAAGAAAUUGAUAGAACCACUACUUUCUUGAGCCGCUUUGGUGGAAUUAAUAUAAUUGUUAGGCGUCCAAUGAUUCUGAAUUUUGAUUUGGAUACUCAGCUGAUUCCAAGAGUAGAGUUUCUCAAGGAGCUUAGCGGAGGAGAUGAAGAUGCCACGAGGACUUUGUUGUGCAAACUCCCCGCAAUAUUGAGUUACAGUGUGGAGCACACAAAGGAGCAUGUAGAGUUGCUGAGGUCGUUUGCUGGCCUGACUGACCCACAAAUAUUCAAAAUUUUUGUAGUGUUCCCAAAUGUGAUUAGUGCAAGCAAGGAGAGGAAGUUGCUUCCUAGAAUAGGCUUUCUCAAGCAAUGUGGGUUGAAUUCUGAUGAUAUAUUCAAGUUCUUGACUAAAGCCCCCUUGUUUCUAGGCCUCUCCUAUGAAGAGAACCUUGUCCAUAAGCUUGUAUUUUUGGUGAAGAUUGGUUAUGAAUAUAGAACUAGGGAAUUGGCUGACGCACUGGGGGCUGUAACAAGAACAAGCUGUGAUAAUUUGCAAAAGGUGAUUGGGCUAUUCUUUAGUUAUGGGUUUUCUUCUGCAGACAUUCUUGCCAUGAGCAAAAAGCACCCUCAGAUUCUGCAAUACACCUAUAGUUCUCUCCAGGAAAAGAUGGAGUACUUGACUGAGGGAAUGGGUAGAGAAGUUGGAGAGCUAUUGGCUUUUCCUGCAUUUCUUGGUUACAAGCUUGAUGACAGGAUUAAGCAUAGGUAUGAAGCAAAAAAGAAAGUUAUAGGGGAAGGGAUGUCCCUCAAUAAGCUCUUGAGCGUAUCAGCUGAUAGAUUUUCAGCUGAGAAGGAAAAAUCCCAUUCUUGAUUGGCAGCUGAAUGAGUUGGAAAAUUUAGAUGGAGUUAGAUAAACUAUUUAAUAUGGCCCUAAGCUGCCUCCUCACCAUCCAGGAGAGGAAGAAAUUGAUGUUUUUAUCUCAAAUUUCAUUGAAGCUUGAAUGAACUUUGCUUAUGGACAAGUUUUGUUGAUGUCAACCAAAUUUGUAUUUUUUUUAGUCCAGUUUCCAGGGUAUUUAACCAUCCUGUUUCCCAAAAAUGCCAUCAAAUGGAACUUCCAAUUCAUUUGCAUUAACUAUUCUAUCCAUAUAAAUUUUGCCACAACUCUUCUGACUAUUUUGGUGGUUCAACCUGCACAGAACCUCACUUCUUUGGAAAAUUAGAGAUUGUUUUCUUGUUUGUUAUCGUGACAUUGUACAUUUAGCUUUAAUUUCUGCAACAUAUUCCAAGUUGAACACUCCAAAAAUUAUUGAUCACUUCCAUGUCGUCUUCUUCUUUUUCUUUUUCUUUUUCCUGGAAGGGGGGGGUAUGCUUUUAUCCACCUUAGGAAGAUUGAUAAAUUGAUGGUUUUCCAUAGGAAGGGCCAAACCUAUUUGUUGGUGUAAAAACAUAUUUAAGAAGUUCAUGAGCCUAGCCUGGCAUGGUCCAAUGGCUGAAGGCAUAUAUCACACCUGGCAGACCCAGGUUCGAGUCCCCACUCCCUCGGUUCUCUACUCAAAA